Molecule: ribosomal RNA, 2924 nt
Filed under: Escherichia coli
Lineage: Bacteria; Pseudomonadati; Pseudomonadota; Gammaproteobacteria; Enterobacterales; Enterobacteriaceae
Description: partial 23S ribosomal RNA
Rfam family: Bacterial large subunit ribosomal RNA
Source: RNAcentral
GGGUUGUGAGGUUAAGCGACUAAGCGUACACGGUGGAUGCCCUGGCAGUCAGAGGCGAUGAAGGACGUGCUAAUCUGCGAUAAGCGUCGGUAAGGUGAUAUGAACCGUUAUAACCGGCGAUUUCCGAAUGGGGAAACCCAGUGUGUUUCGACACACUAUCAUUAACUGAAUCCAUAGGUUAAUGAGGCGAACCGGGGGAACUGAAACAUCUAAGUACCCCGAGGAAAAGAAAUCAACCGAGAUUCCCCCAGUAGCGGCGAGCGAACGGGGAGCAGCCCAGAGCCUGAAUCAGUGUGUGUGUUAGUGGAAGCGUCUGGAAAGGCGCGCGAUACAGGGUGACAGCCCCGUACACAAAAAUGCACAUAUUGUGAGCUCGAUGAGUAGGGCGGGACACGUGGUAUCCUGUCUGAAUAUGGGGGGACCAUCCUCCAAGGCUAAAUACUCCUGACUGACCGAUAGUGAACCAGUACCGUGAGGGAAAGGCGAAAAGAACCCCGGCGAGGGGAGUGAAAAAGAACCUGAAACCGUGUACGUACAAGCAGUGGGAGCACGCUUCGGCGUGUGACUGCGUACCUUUUGUAUAAUGGGUCAGCGACUUAUAUUCUGUAGCAAGGUUAACCGAAUAGGGGAGCCGAAGGGAAACCGAGUCUUAACUGGGCGUUAAGUUGCAGGGUAUAGACCCGAAACCCGGUGAUCUAGCCAUGGGCAGGUUGAAGGUUGGGUAACACUAACUGGAGGACCGAACCGACUAAUGUUGAAAAAUUAGCGGAUGACUUGUGGCUGGGGGUGAAAGGCCAAUCAAACCGGGAGAUAGCUGGUUCUCCCCGAAAGCUAUUUAGGUAGCGCCUCGUGAAUUCAUCUCCGGGGGUAGAGCACUGUUUCGGCAAGGGGGUCAUCCCGACUUACCAACCCGAUGCAAACUGCGAAUACCGGAGAAUGUUAUCACGGGAGACACACGGCGGGUGCUAACGUCCGUCGUGAAGAGGGAAACAACCCAGACCGCCAGCUAAGGUCCCAAAGUCAUGGUUAAGUGGGAAACGAUGUGGGAAGGCCCAGACAGCCAGGAUGUUGGCUUAGAAGCAGCCAUCAUUUAAAGAAAGCGUAAUAGCUCACUGGUCGAGUCGGCCUGCGCGGAAGAUGUAACGGGGCUAAACCAUGCACCGAAGCUGCGGCAGCGACACUAUGUGUUGUUGGGUAGGGGAGCGUUCUGUAAGCCUGUGAAGGUGUACUGUGAGGUAUGCUGGAGGUAUCAGAAGUGCGAAUGCUGACAUAAGUAACGAUAAAGCGGGUGAAAAGCCCGCUCGCCGGAAGACCAAGGGUUCCUGUCCAACGUUAAUCGGGGCAGGGUGAGUCGACCCCUAAGGCGAGGCCGAAAGGCGUAGUCGAUGGGAAACAGGUUAAUAUUCCUGUACUUGGUGUUACUGCGAAGGGGGGACGGAGAAGGCUAUGUUGGCCGGGCGACGGUUGUCCCGGUUUAAGCGUGUAGGCUGGUUUUCCAGGCAAAUCCGGAAAAUCAAGGCUGAGGCGUGAUGACGAGGCACUACGGUGCUGAAGCAACAAAUGCCCUGCUUCCAGGAAAAGCCUCUAAGCAUCAGGUAACAUCAAAUCGUACCCCAAACCGACACAGGUGGUCAGGUAGAGAAUACCAAGGCGCUUGAGAGAACUCGGGUGAAGGAACUAGGCAAAAUGGUGCCGUAACUUCGGGAGAAGGCACGCUGAUAUGUAGGUGAAGUCCCUCGCGGAUGGAGCUGAAAUCAGUCGAAGAUACCAGCUGGCUGCAACUGUUUAUUAAAAACACAGCACUGUGCAAACACGAAAGUGGACGUAUACGGUGUGACGCCUGCCCGGUGCCGGAAGGUUAAUUGAUGGGGUCAGCGCAAGCGAAGCUCUUGAUCGAAGCCCCGGUAAACGGCGGCCGUAACUAUAACGGUCCUAAGGUAGCGAAAUUCCUUGUCGGGUAAGUUCCGACCUGCACGAAUGGCGUAAUGAUGGCCAGGCUGUCUCCACCCGAGACUCAGUGAAAUUGAACUCGCUGUGAAGAUGCAGUGUACCCGCGGCAAGACGGAAAGACCCCGUGAACCUUUACUAUAGCUUGACACUGAACAUUGAGCCUUGAUGUGUAGGAUAGGUGGGAGGCUUUGAAGUGUGGACGCCAGUCUGCAUGGAGCCGACCUUGAAAUACCACCCUUUAAUGUUUGAUGUUCUAACGUUGACCCGUGAUCCGGGUUGCGGACAGUGUCUGGUGGGUAGUUUGACUGGGGCGGUCUCCUCCUAAAGAGUAACGGAGGAGCACGAAGGUUGGCUAAUCCUGGUCGGACAUCAGGAGGUUAGUGCAAUGGCAUAAGCCAGCUUGACUGCGAGCGUGACGGCGCGAGCAGGUGCGAAAGCAGGUCAUAGUGAUCCGGUGGUUCUGAAUGGAAGGGCCAUCGCUCAACGGAUAAAAGGUACUCCGGGGAUAACAGGCUGAUACCGCCCAAGAGUUCAUAUCGACGGCGGUGUUUGGCACCUCGAUGUCGGCUCAUCACAUCCUGGGGCUGAAGUAGGUCCCAAGGGUAUGGCUGUUCGCCAUUUAAAGUGGUACGCGAGCUGGGUUUAGAACGUCGUGAGACAGUUCGGUCCCUAUCUGCCGUGGGCGCUGGAGAACUGAGGGGGGCUGCUCCUAGUACGAGAGGACCGGAGUGGACGCAUCACUGGUGUUCGGGUUGUCAUGCCAAUGGCACUGCCCGGUAGCUAAAUGCGGAAGAGAUAAGUGCUGAAAGCAUCUAAGCACGAAACUUGCCCCGAGAUGAGUUCUCCCUGACCCUUUAAGGGUCCUGAAGGAACGUUGAAGACGACGACGUUGAUAGGCCGGGUGUGUAAGCGCAGCGAUGCGUUGAGCUAACCGGUACUAAUGAACCGUGAGGCUUAACCUUACAACGCCGAAG